Molecule: ribosomal RNA, 446 nt
Filed under: uncultured bacterium
Lineage: Bacteria
Description: SSU rRNA
Rfam family: Bacterial small subunit ribosomal RNA
Source: RNAcentral
AGAACGAACGCUGGCGGCAGGCUUAACACAUGCAAGUCGCACGGAGGGUUUCGGCCUUCAGUGGCGGACGGGUGAGUAUCGCGUAGGGAUUUAUCGUUGGGUGGGGGAUAACCUUGGGAAACUGGGGCUAAUACCGCAUGACGCCUGAGGGCCAAAGUUACGGCGCCUGACGAGAAGCCUGCGUCCGAUUAGGUAGUUGGUUGGGUAAUGGCUGACCAAGCCUGCGAUCGGUAGCUGGUCUGAGAGGAUGAUCAGCCACACUGGGACUGAGACACGGCCCAGACUCCUACGGGAGGCAGCAGUGGGGAAUAUUGGACAAUGGGCGCAAGCCUGAUCCAGCAAUGCCGCGUGGAUGAAGAAGGUUUUCGGAUUGUAAAGUCCUUUCGGCGGGGACGAUGAUGACGGUACCGCAGAGAAGCCCCGGCUAACUUCGUGCCAGCAGCCGC